GAUGAACGCUAGCUACAGGCUUAACACACGCAAGUCGAGGGGCAGCAUGAAAGGAACUUCGGUUCUUUUUCGAUGGCGACCGGCGCACGGGUGCGUAACGCGUAUCGAACCUGCCUCAUACUCGGGGAUAGCCUUGCGAAAGUAAGAUUAAUACCCGGCGGUCUCGGAUGGCCGCAUGACUGUCCGAGUGAAGAUUUAUCGGUAUGAGAUGGCGAUGCGUCCCAUUAGCUUGUUGGUGGGGUAACGGCUCACCAAGGCAUCGAUGGGUAGGGGUUCUGAGAGGAAGGUCCCCCACAUUGGAACUGAGACACGGUCCAAACUCCUACGGGAGGCAGCAGUGAGGAAUAUUGGUCAAUGGACGAAAGUCUGAACCAGCCAAGUAGCGUGCAGGAUGACGGCCCUCUGGGUUGUAAACUGCUUUUAGUUGGGAAUAAAAAGAGGGACGUGUCCCUUAUUGUAUGUACCAUCAGAAAAAGGACCGGCUAAUUCCGUGCCAGCAGCCGCGGUAAUACGGUAGGUCCAGGCGUUAUCCGGAUUUAUUGGGUUUAAAGGGAGCGCAGGCGGCGGCGUAAGUCAGUUGUGAAAUCGUGCGGCUUAACCGUGCAAUUGCAGUUGAUACUGCGUCGCUUGAGUGCACACAGGGAUGUUGGAAUUCAUGGUGUAGCGGUGAAAUGCUUAGAUAUCAUGAAGAACUCCGAUCGCGAAGGCAUAUGUCCGGAGUGCAACUGACGCUGAGGCUCGAAAGUGUNGGUAUCAAACAGG
RNAcentral lists this ribosomal RNA (762 nucleotides) under uncultured bacterium. Its description in RNAcentral is "bacterial SSU rRNA". It matches the Rfam family "Bacterial small subunit ribosomal RNA", at positions 28 to 776 of the family's 1533-position model. The record is from RNAcentral.